UUAAGUUCAGCGGGUAUUCCUACCUGAUCCGAGGUCAACACUUGAAAAAUACUCAGCUAAGAGCAGUGUAAAAAGACCGUCGCCCACAGAAUCAUCCCGCGUACAUGCUUGAUUAGAAGCUCCUCGUACCGGUUCCUUCUGGGACGCCGUCACUAUCUUUAAGGCCAGUUGUAGACGGCUAUAACUGAAGCCCAACACCA
RNAcentral lists this unclassified non-coding RNA (200 nucleotides) under Herpotrichiellaceae sp. Its description in RNAcentral is "partial internal transcribed spacer 2". Lineage: Eukaryota; Fungi; Ascomycota; Eurotiomycetes; Chaetothyriales; Herpotrichiellaceae. The record is from RNAcentral.